GCCUGGGUGGCGGAAUAGGUAGACGCAAGGGACUUAAAAUCCCUUGGGGCUUGUCCCCGUGCCGGUUCAAUUCCGGCCCUAGGUACCA
This 88-nucleotide transfer RNA is filed under the name Desulfonema limicola. RNAcentral describes it as "tRNA-Leu". It matches the Rfam family "tRNA". Rfam says of the family: Transfer RNA (tRNA) molecules are approximately 80 nucleotides in length. Their secondary structure includes four short double-helical elements and three loops (D, anti-codon, and T loops). Lineage: Bacteria; Pseudomonadati; Thermodesulfobacteriota; Desulfobacteria; Desulfobacterales; Desulfococcaceae. RNAcentral also lists the same sequence under 1 other name. The record is from RNAcentral.